AAAUUGAAGAGUUUGAUCAUGGCUCAGAUUGAACGCUGGCGGCAGGCCUAACACAUGCAAGUCGAACGGUAACAGGAAGCAGCUUGCUGCUUCGCUGACGAGUGGCGGACGGGUGAGUAAUGUCUGGGAAACUGCCUGAUGGAGGGGGAUAACUACUGGAAACGGUAGCUAAUACCGCAUAACGU
Molecule: ribosomal RNA, 185 nt
Filed under: Escherichia coli
Lineage: Bacteria; Pseudomonadati; Pseudomonadota; Gammaproteobacteria; Enterobacterales; Enterobacteriaceae
Also listed under: 2 other names
Description: partial 16S ribosomal RNA
Rfam family: Bacterial small subunit ribosomal RNA
Source: RNAcentral